Molecule: ribosomal RNA, 440 nt
Filed under: uncultured Anaeroplasma sp.
Lineage: Bacteria; Bacillati; Mycoplasmatota; Mollicutes; Anaeroplasmatales; Anaeroplasmataceae
Description: bacterial SSU rRNA
Rfam family: Bacterial small subunit ribosomal RNA
Source: RNAcentral
ACGGGAGGCAGCAGUAGGGAAUUUUCGGCAAUGGACGAAAGCCUGACCGAGCAACGCCGCGUGAACGAAGAAGUAUUUCGGUAUGUAAAGUUCUUUUAUUAGGGAAGAAAAGACAGAUUGACUGUACCUAAUGAAUAAGCUCCGGCUAACUACGUGCCAGCAGCCGCGGUAAUACGUAGGGAGCGAGCGUUAUCCGGAAUUAUUGGGCGUAAAGGGUGCGCAGAUGGCACAUUAAGUUUCUUGUUAAAAUGCGGGGCUCAACCCCGUAUCGCAAGAGAUACUGAUGAGCUAGAGUACGACAGAGGCAAGUGGAACUCCAUGUGUAGCGGUAAAAUGCGUAAAUAUAUGGAAGAACACCAGUGGCGAAGGCGGCUUGCUAGGUCGAUACUGACAUUGAGGCACGAAAGCGUGGGGAGCAAACAGGAUUAGAUACCCUGGUA